GCUCACUCAGUUUCUCCUACUACUGCUUCCACUUCCUUAGUCGACGCAGGAUAUUCGAACGAAAGCGUUGAUUGGUCAUGGUAGAGAGAGGGGAGGUCUAUACUACUUGGACUUACCACCAGAUUGUGAGAAGACAAGUUACAGUUGUCAAGUGGAAGCUAAACAAUUUGAAGCUUCU
Pyrus x bretschneideri (Chinese white pear) is the source of this 178-nucleotide long non-coding RNA. RefSeq lists it as uncharacterized. The transcript is spliced from 2 exons. The record is from RefSeq and is a predicted model, not a curated record. Lineage: Eukaryota; Viridiplantae; Streptophyta; Magnoliopsida; Rosales; Rosaceae.